This is a long non-coding RNA of Passer domesticus (house sparrow), 4361 nucleotides long. RefSeq lists it as uncharacterized. The transcript is spliced from 7 exons. NCBI's taxonomy places the organism in Eukaryota, Metazoa, Chordata, Aves, Passeriformes, Passeridae. The record is from RefSeq and is a predicted model, not a curated record.
CUCAGUUUGUUAACUUUUUCCAGCUGCUGUUCUGUGUCAGUCCUCUACAGCCAUCUGUCUUGAGACCAACAGCUGGAAGAUACUUCAGCAGACUAGCUGCAUAGUUGCGAAUUCCUAAAGUAAUUCAAUCCAAACGGUGGAUUGGCCAUGAUCUCUGAAAGUCCAAAUCUUUCUCUGAAGAAAAAAGAAAAAAGAAAAAAGGAAAAAAAAAAAAAAAAGGCAACUUAAUGCUGAGAAAAUAUUGAAAAUUUUUAAUUUUUAGAGCCAGAUUUUUUACAGAGAUUAUUGAGUAUACUGUAAAUGAUCAAUACAUAUCUGGUCAUUAGUGGUCAUUUUAAAUGACCAUUACAUUGAAUGUAACAGGAUCAUUUUUCUGAAGCUCAUGGAUGGAAACUGUGCUUGUAAAACAACAUGCUUGUAAUUUUUUCUUGGUCUCAUGAUUCCUAUACACAGGUGAUCUAUUUAUCUUAGGGGCCUAAGGCCAAAUUAUUAUCAGGAGUGAAUAAUUUUAAGCUGGAAUGAUCACUCCAUAGAAUGUAAUAAACAGAUGCAAAAGCCACAGCACAUUUUUAUUAGAAUUUGGAAAGUUUAUAUUUUCUUCCCAUUUUUUAUUGCCUGUCCCCUUUAAUUUAUUAACUUUGAGAACCAGAAGAGAAUCUAUGAAUGGUAAGGGGAUGGAGUAUUUUCAAUGCACUGCUGUGUUAGAAUUAAUGCAAGACUACGGUCUUCAAGUUAUGCCUAAGAAUAAUCAUGCUUGAUUGUACAGAACUACUUCUCUAAAUUUCUCUCAUUACUUGAUGGUAUUUUCUUUUCUCACUUGUGGACACAAUUUUUUUUGAUUUAUAAAUAUCUGCUCUUGAGAUGCACCACCUGAAACACUGCACCCAGCACUGGGGCCCAUAACACAGGAAAGAUGUGGACCUGUUGGACCAAGUCAGGAGAAGAGCCUCUGAGUUUUUCCCAGGGCUUGAGCACCUCCCCUGUGAAGACCGGCUGAGAGAGUUGGGACUCCUCCUGGAAGAAUGGAGACUCCAGAGUAGUCCCUCCAGUACCUAAAGGGACAAGAAGGCUGCAGAGGGACCUUUCACAAAGGAGCAUAAGAACCUGUCUGUGCAAAGCCAUUUGCUUUUCCUUACCUCUGUUUUAAUGUCCUUUCUGGUCAAGAUCUACUAGAAUCUCCUGAUCAUUGGUUUGGUAUCUCCACGUGUCCUGAUUUCUACAGAGAAGUUUUCAGACCACUCGGAAUCUGAAGAGUUGACUGUGCAAGGUAACGUGGGAUCAGGGGAGAGCAAGGAUAGUGACAGAUAUGGAUACCAGAAGUCCUGAUUAUUUGACACUGUUUCUGGGCAUAAGAUUCAGACACUUAACAGUUUUCUGUGGGCAGCAAAUUUCUUGUCGCAACCAUGAUCUGAAGCCAACAUUAAUUGCAGAGUUCCUGAAAGAAAAUGUUAUAUCUUGCAGCUCACUAUUUCAGCUUUGAAGGAAUAACAGCAUUGCUUUGGGAGUUAGUCACGACAAUAUCAAGAAAAAAAUGAACACACAUCGAUGGGAUUUGAGACAUUCCAUGAAGAAGAGGGGGUUGUAUGAGAUUAUUAACCUAUUAAAGAAACGUGAUGCAUAAAGAAGUACCACAGCAUAACCUUCCUGUCACUCAGCUCAGAUCUCCUUUUGGAGGAGGAUGGAGAGGCAGAGCAUAAAGCAGAAAGACUUUUGUAUUUCUAUGAAAAUGAGGAAUGGCAGAGUGAUUCUUUCCAUAGCCACUGCCCAUCCUUCUGCAGUCACUCUGCCAGAAGUCUUGCAUGAAAAUAUUAAAUCCCUUCGGAUGAACCCUUCCCAGGCUUCAUCUUGUGCCUCUGUGAACACUAAUUCAUUAGGCUGUUCCACUAACACUUUCAGUAUUUUUGGCUGCUUUGGUGUGCAUAUACCAUUUAUUUUCUCAUUUGUUCAACAGAAAAUAUGGGAUACCUAAUACCUUCAUCCCAUAGAUCUAUCUUCACACACAACAAUUACAUAUAAAGGUAUCUUUUCAAGUAAUAUGACACUUUAAAUAUACAAGAAAUUGGAGCAACUCUGAACUCUAGAAGGUGCUAUAAAUCAUCUACUGUGGGGUUUGAAUGCAGAUGGCAAUACCUAAGAUUUGAACUCAGUUUUGCAUAUAUAUUUUCUAGGUAAAAAGCCUUUGAUUUGUUUUUUCUAGUUGAUUUUAAUUGAUGUUAUAACCUUUAUUCCACUUCUAUACUUAAAUUUAUUUAGUUCUUCUUUUUCGAAAAAAACCCCAUUUCCUUUAGCAUAAAAAUGACACUGACAUUUGGGGAGUAUUUACGCAACAAUCAAAUUUUUUGGGAGGGAAAACCAUACUGUUCUCAGUAGAGUCCAUAGAGUCUGCCCAUCAAGCAAAGUCAUCAAAUAGCACAAGAGUGGUUUUAUAAUCCAAAAUUUGUCCCUCAGCACUCCUCUCCUACACAGUAUCUAACACAGAAGCAGGACUUUAGACUUCUACCUACAAAGUACUGAAUAUGUAGAUAUCCUAAAGCAUGUGAAUAUUUGCAUUUGGUUCAGUGGGGCCAUUCAGGGGCUCACUGUUGAGCAUCUGAUCAAGUGCUCCUGGAAACUGAAUCCUAGACUGAGCCAGGGUAUGUAUCCUGGUGUUUCUCUUACUCAAAGAGAGAUUUAAACAGAAAUAGGCUUACCGUAUUUUUCUUUUCUUUUUCAGUGGCUAGAAAAAUGCUGAUUUAAUUUUCCAUUGAAAAAUCAAAAAUUAAUGUUUUAGGGAAUAAUAUUACAGAGGCUCAAAGCUCUACUUGGUUCUGCCUUCUUUUUUCCCCCUAGGAGUGUGAAAUGAGCUGUUUUCAUUAACUACUAAAUUAUUAUUUUUUAAAUUAGCUGGUUUCCCCCACCCUUCCCACUGAGUAACAAUGUUCCUUCAGUUCUGUGAGAUUAUGGGUCUAUUUCAUAUAUCAGGCACCAGGUAGUAAAUUGGAAGUUUUGAGUAAAUUCUGUGCUUUUGAGAUAGAAUGAUUUUAAUUAAGAAAUCUUUUAGAGUAAUGUGAAAGGUGACAUUACUAUUCAUCAGAAUGCACACAGGGCUCUCAGUACCUUUUCCAAAAUUAUCCCUGUGCAAUCCAUGCUGCUAAGUCAAAGCCCCAUGCUAGUUUUUACAGAUUCAAAUCUGGGUCACUGCAGUAUAUAGACAGAAUUUACUUUAAAUUAAAUAAUUCCUGAGCACGACGAUUUUCUAUUUUCAACUCCUUUCACAAGUUGUUAUGGCUAUGCAUUACAAUGAGCUAAACAUAAAAGAAGGCAAAAUCUACAAUUGUAAGGGGAACAAAGCACUAUAUUAUACAAGAAAAGUUGCCUUUGGUGUACUUUGUAGCCCUUUAUACUCUGUAAAAUAUUUUUUACUGUUUGGUUGGUUUUUUCCAGUUAACAUCUAAGCAAACGUAAUUAUACAAGAUUUCUGGAAAUUAAAUGAAACCGAAAAAUGCCUAGAUAGUAGCAACUGUAAUGACAGAUCACUUCAUAAGGAUAACACUUCAUUGUUUCUUGUACUUUUGCAAAAUUUUAAAGGCUGUUUUGCAUUUGUUUUCAGAUAGUGUCAAGGACUAGUUUAUGCAAAGGAAAAUCUUGAAACUGCAGGCUCUUAAAAGACCAAGCUUAGGCCCGUGAAGGUGUGAGGUUAAUGUAUCUGAUUUGCAGUCUUAUGCAACAGAAAAUUUCAUGGUCAGCUGUUAAGCAUAAAUAUUUUCACAACGAACAAAUAAUUUGCAUGAAAAAUAGUGAUAGUGUGUACAUUAAAGAUAUUCACAAUGGGUAGGCUUUAUACAUUAUUGGUAAGAAUUUUUAGCAGAUGAUAGAAUUACCUCCAGGAUGAAUUCAGACCAAUCUAUUUUUGCUGAUGUACUACGCAUAAUAAUUUGUAUUUCUUGGCAGACAUUCAUCUUUGCACAUAAACAUCUUCAUAUAAAUUCCUUUCCUUGGGAGAAGUAGCAGGGGAGAUGAUUUUUUUCAUAACUCAUAUCAGCAUCUGUGAUAGGACACUGUCCUUGUUUUGUAUAGCAUAAACAUAGCUCAAAUUUUGUUGACUUCUUGCUAACCUCUAUAAUAUUUAUAGAGUGCUGCAUCCCUAUUGCCUACCAUUAAACUUUUUUAAGUGCCUUGCUAAAAUGGAAAAUUUUUGCCUAAACCCACUCUCUUAAUUACUUUCUUUGAAUGUCUAAUUUUAACUAAUUUUUCUUUACAGAUUAAAAACUGUCUAGUUAACUCAACAUACAACCUUUUUCUUAAGCAAAUGGUAGCAUGUUCUAUAAUCCUGAUAGAGCUAUAACAAGAAAUUCAAGAACUACCCACAGUGGACUUUAUUC